UGCAAGUCGAGGGGUAGAGGCCUUCGGGCCUUGAGACCGGCGCACGGGUGCGUAACGCGUAUGCAAUCUGCCUUCCACAGAGGGAUAGCCCAGAGAAAUUUGGAUUAAUACCUCAUAGCAUCAUGACCCGGCAUCGGGAUAUGAUUAAAGUCACAACGGUGGAAGAUGAGCAUGCGUCCCAUUAGCUAGUUGGUAAGGUAACGGCUUACCAAGGCUACGAUGGGUAGGGGUCCUGAGAGGGAGAUCCCCCACACUGGUACUGAGACACGGACCAGACUCCUACGGGAGGCAGCAGUGAGGAAUAUUGGUCAAUGGGCGCAAGCCUGAACCAGCCAUGCCGCGUGCAGGAUGACGGUCCUAUGGAUUGUAAACUGCUUUUGUACGGGAAGAAACCCUCCUACGUGUAGGAGCUUGACGGUACCGUAAGAAUAAGGAUCGGCUAACUCCGUGCCAGCAGCCGCGGUAAUACGGAGGAUCCAAGCGUUAUCCGGAAUCAUUGGGUUUAAAGGGUCUGUAGGCGGUCUUGUAAGUCAGUGGUGAAAGCCCAUCGCUCAACGGUGGAACGGCCAUUGAUACUGCUGGACUUGAAUUAUUGGGAAGCAACUAGAAUAUGUAGUGUAGCGGUGAAAUGCUUAGAGAUUACAUGGAAUACCAAUUGCGAAGGCAGGUUGCUACCAAUGGAUUGACGCUGAUGGACGAAAGCGUGGGUAGCGAACAGGAUUAGAUACCCUGGUAGUCCACGCCGUAAACGAUGGAUACUAGCUGUUGGGCGCAAGUUCAGUGGCUAAGCGAAAGUGAUAAGUAUCCCACCUGGGGAGUACGAACGCAAGUUUGAAACUCAAAGGAAUUGACGGGGGCCCGCACAAGCGGUGG
Molecule: ribosomal RNA, 873 nt
Filed under: Flavobacterium sp.
Lineage: Bacteria; Pseudomonadati; Bacteroidota; Flavobacteriia; Flavobacteriales; Flavobacteriaceae
Description: bacterial SSU rRNA
Rfam family: Bacterial small subunit ribosomal RNA
Source: RNAcentral